Molecule: long non-coding RNA, 496 nt
Filed under: Olea europaea subsp. europaea
Lineage: Eukaryota; Viridiplantae; Streptophyta; Magnoliopsida; Lamiales; Oleaceae
Source: RNAcentral
GUGGAGAUUUAGUUUGGUAUCGUACCUUUGGGAUUUGAUUCUGGGUUCAAAAUGGAGAAUACUAUUCAAUCGAGUUGGGGAAUAUGUGUAAUUUCGCUUUGCCACCAUUAUUCGUGAUUUCAUCGUAUUCAACUGCUAGGGAUAGACCCACUGAGAUAGGUACAUGGAUGCUGCUUUGGUUGCACAAACUUUUGGAGUUUUUAAAGGUGUCGAGACUAGCAAGGAGCAUCCAGUGGAAACAUUGAGAGUUGAUUCUGCUAAAGGGUGAACAUCAACCCUAUUUGGUAAAUCUUAAAUUCUUUGUAGGAAUUUUGGGAACCGAUGUUUGGGUUUCAAAAUCAUUUGUGGAUACUGUGGAAGAAGAGUAAUUUUUCUUGAGUUAGAGAAACUUGGUUUUGGUUGAAAAGUUUAGUCUAUUUCACUACAGGAGAACUUAUUUUUUCAAAUGGAGAAAUUUUGGAAUUUCAUUCGUUACACCAAAAUUCGUGUCAAUAUG